AGGACGAACGCUGGCGGCGCGCUUAAUACAUGCAAGUCGAGCGAGAACCAGGGCUUCGGCCCUGGGGACAGCGGCGAACGGGUGAGUAACACGUGGGUAAUCAACCCCCGACACCGGGAUAGCCCAGGGAAACUUGGAUUAAUACCGGAUGCUCCAUCUGGCUUUCGAGCCGGCUGGAAAAGGGUAGCUUCGGCCUCCGGUCGGGGACGAGCCCGCGGCGGAUUAGCUUGUUGGUGAGGUAAAGGCUCGCCAAGGCGACGAUCCGUAGCUGGUCUGAGAGGAUGAUCAGCCACACUGGGACUGAGACACGGCCCAGACUCCUACGGGAGGCAGCAGUGGGGAAUAUUGGACAAUGGGCGCAAGCCUGAUCCAGCAAUGCCGCGUGAGUGAUGAAGGCCUUCGGGUUGUAAAGCUCUUUCGCACGCGAGGAUGAUGACGCUAGCGUGAGAGAGCCCGGCUACUCGUGCCAGCAGCCGC
Molecule: ribosomal RNA, 477 nt
Filed under: uncultured bacterium
Lineage: Bacteria
Description: SSU rRNA
Rfam family: Bacterial small subunit ribosomal RNA
Source: RNAcentral